CCUACGGGAGGCAGCAGUGGGGAAUAUUGGGCAAUGGAGGCAACUCUGACCCAGCAAUGCCGCGUGAGUGAUGAAGGUAAUUUUAUUGUAAAGCUCUUUUCUUGGGGACGAAUAAAUGACGGUACCAACGGCAUAAGCCCCGGCUAGCUAAGUGCCCCCCGCCGCGGUAAUACGUAGGGGGCAAGCGUUGUUCGGGAUGACUGGGCGUAAAGGGUGGGUAGGUGGUUUGAUAAGUUCGAUGUGUAAUAACCAGGGCUUAACCCGGGGGCUGCAUCUAAAACUGUUAGACUGGAGUACUGGAGAGGAUAGUGGAAUUCCCAGUGUAGCGGUGGAAUGCGUAGAUAUUAGGAGGAACAUCCGUGGCGAAGGCGACUAUCUGGACAGUAACUGACACUGAGGCACGAAGGCGUGGGGAGCAAACAGGAUUAGAUACCCUAGUAGUC
RNAcentral lists this ribosomal RNA (443 nucleotides) under uncultured bacterium. Its description in RNAcentral is "partial 16S ribosomal RNA". It matches the Rfam family "Bacterial small subunit ribosomal RNA", at positions 338 to 795 of the family's 1533-position model. The record is from RNAcentral.